UGGGGAAUAUUGCGCAAUGGGGGGAACCCUGACGCAGCAACGCCGCGUGAAUGAAGAAGGCUUUCGAGUCGUAAAAUUCUGUCCUCAGGGAAGAAGAAGUGACGGUACCUGAGGAGGAAGCCCCGGCUAACUACGUGCCAGCAGCCGCGGUAAUACGUAGGGGGCAAGCGUUGUCCGGAAUCACUGGGCGUAAAGGGCGCGUAGGCGGUAUAUUAAGUCAGGUGUGAAAGUUUUCGGCUCAACCGGAAAAGUGCACUUGAAACUAAUAGACUUGAGUACUGGAGAGGUAAGCGGAAUUCCUAGUGUAGCGGUGAAAUGCGUAGAUAUUAGGAGGAACACCGGUGGCGAAGGCGGCUUACUGGACAGAGACUGACGCUGAGGCGCGAAAGCGUGGGGAGCAAACAGG
RNAcentral lists this ribosomal RNA (406 nucleotides) under uncultured bacterium. Its description in RNAcentral is "bacterial SSU rRNA". It matches the Rfam family "Bacterial small subunit ribosomal RNA", at positions 355 to 776 of the family's 1533-position model. The record is from RNAcentral.